Megalopta genalis is the source of this 960-nucleotide non-coding RNA. The record is from RefSeq and is a predicted model, not a curated record. NCBI's taxonomy places the organism in Eukaryota, Metazoa, Arthropoda, Insecta, Hymenoptera, Halictidae.
UGAGAUAUUCUAUAGACGAAAAGCAGUAAGUCACGGAUCUUUACUGUUCCAUGAAACACAAAAAUAAUGAAAUCAAGAUAUUCUAAAUAAAUUAAAUGUUUAUAAAUAAGAAGAUUCUAACAAAAAUUAGAAAUAAAUAAAAAUGGAAGAAUACAUUUCUUAAAUAAUGUUACUGUUAGAGUGGUGGAAAGAUCUCACAAAUGGGAUUUGAUGAUGCCAUUUUGCAGCACAUUUCAGGGUUGUCUCCGAAAAUGCGGUUUACAUCGUUCAAUUAAUGACAUAGCAAUUGGACACUCCACAAUAAUUGGCUUCACCAGCCUAUAUGUACACCAUCAAUUGUUGGUAAUUUUCUUCAACAAUUUCAGCAUUUUAUGAUUAUUUGUAAUGGCAUUGUACAGACCAAUGAAUGGAUGUAAAGGGUAAAAACUAAAAUAGUACUUGUUCAUGUUUCAGUAAUCUUUUAUUCAGUUAAUAAUUUAUGUUUAUUUAUUCGAAACAAGAAAGCCGUUGACGAUUAUUUUUUUUCUUCAUGUAUGAGAAAAUGAUUAUUUUGAAUUAUGUUAAUUUUAAUUAUCGAAGGACAUAUAACUAAUUUUUAAGCACUUUGCCAUAGACUCGAUCAAUUUUACAAAGCCAGUAUCUUUUGGUUUUUCCAGUCCUCUCAAAACUCUAUUCUUCAUAACAGCGACAAAUUCUUUGUUACUUAGUUGACCGUCCACUGUAAAUACACAAGAAAUGAAAUCAUGAUUUUUCUCUAGCAUAAACGUACAGUUGCUAUGUUUGUUUUGUUUGUUUUAGUAAGAAAAAUACUUACUGUUCUCAUCAAAAAUAGUAUAAACUACUUGUAUGACGUGAUCACUCAAAUCCACAUGUGCUACUGUCUUUGCAACAUGCUUCAAAGUAGCUAGAAAGAAAAAAAAAUUUUGUUGUACAAAUAUGAAACAGAGAUAUUAAAGCAAA